CAAGUAUAUCAAACAAUCUUUAGGAACAGGCUCACUGCAUAUCUUCUGUUGUUGGCAUUGUUGCCUCCUAUUACUACCCUGUUACUUAUGUCGUUCAUAACAAUCUCGCCAACAAAUGAAGAUGAUGAGAAGAAGCAUCUUAAUGGUUUCUCAUUGAUUGCUCUGGUUCUGGCUUCUUAUCUCAUGGCUGAAAUCAUUGUGGGAAACAUUUUCUCUUUACAACUGUCUGUUCGCAUCAUUACUUUUGCUGUACUCAUUUUCUUGCUGCUUUCCCCGAUUUCUGUUGCGAUCAAUGUCCACAAGGAAAAGUCUUAUAGAAUAAUUAAAUACUUACUCGAGCAAAACUCACCGGAAGAUGAGCAAAAUAGAUCUCAGGCGCAUUUUGUGGACAUG
RNAcentral lists this unclassified non-coding RNA (393 nucleotides) under Hevea brasiliensis (rubber tree). Lineage: Eukaryota; Viridiplantae; Streptophyta; Magnoliopsida; Malpighiales; Euphorbiaceae. The record is from RNAcentral.